CUACGUGCCAGCAGCCGCGGUAAUACGUAGGGUGCGAGCGUUAAUCGGAAUUACUGGGCGUAAAGCGGGCGCAGACGGUUACUUAAGCAGGAUGUGAAAUCCCCGGGCUCAACCUGGGAAUUGCGUUCUGAACUGGGUGGCUAGAGUGUGUCAGAGGGGGGUAGAAUUCCACGUGUAGCAGUGAAAUGCGUAGAGAUGUGGAGGAAUACCGAUGGCGAAGGCAGCCCCCUGGGAUGGCACUGACGUUCAUGCCCGAAAGCGUGGGUAGCAAACAGGAUUAGAUACCCUGGUAGUCCACGCCCUAAACGAUGUCAAUUAGCUGUUGGGCAACUUGAUUGCUUAGUAGCGUAGCUAACGCGUGAAAUUGACCGCCUGGGGAGUACGGUCGCAAGAUUAAAACUCAAAGGAAUUGACGGGGACCCGCACAAGCGGUGGAUGAUGUGGAUUAAUUCGAUGCAACGCGAAGAACCUUACCUGGUCUUGACAU
This 487-nucleotide ribosomal RNA is filed under the name uncultured bacterium. RNAcentral's name for it is "bacterial SSU rRNA". It matches the Rfam family "Bacterial small subunit ribosomal RNA", at positions 501 to 987 of the family's 1533-position model. The record is from RNAcentral.